Molecule: long non-coding RNA, 2102 nt
Organism: Leptopilina boulardi
Lineage: Eukaryota; Metazoa; Arthropoda; Insecta; Hymenoptera; Figitidae
Exons: 4
Source: RefSeq, a predicted model, not a curated record
GUUCGAAUUACUUAAAACCGCGAUCGUUUCGUAAAAAAAAAAGUUUCAUUUAAUCACAAUUUUUUUCUAAGUCUAAUAUCAAUUUUUUUUCCGGGAGUGUUCGAAUAUCUUAAAACCGCGAUCGCUUAAUAAUUUAGAAAAAAAAUUUGUUUUCAUUUAAUCGCAAUUUCGGGAGUGUUCGAAAUUAUUAAAAUAGCGAGUGUUUGUGUCAAUUUAUUGAAUGGAAACUCUUCAGGAAAGGAAAUCGACAACAGCAAAGUUAAAGAAUGGAAAUUCGUUCUGGAACGGAAAUCGGCAACAGCAGCAAUUUUAAGAUAACGAACUUUUGCUGUAAAUCGCCCUAGGUUCCUCAACGAAAUGAUAAUGUAGUUUUGCUGGAAAUCCUCGCUUCCUCUACGAAUUGAUCCGAGAGUAAAUUUGAGGGACGCCUAUUCGGAACUACUACAAGGUUCGUAAUAAUUAUUAUUAUACGAAAAAAAAAGUAUUAUUCCGAGAAAAAAAUUGGGACUGAACAAAAAACUAAUUUUUAGUAAAAAAAAAAAAUAACUGAAAAAUAGUCAAAUUAAAAUUAUAGUCUCAAUGAAUUAGUUAACAAAAAUUUUAAUUAUUUAUAUCCAUUGCAUAUUGUAUAUAUAUAUAUAUCAUAUGUUAAUUUCUAUAUUUUCUACUUCCGUAUAAUUGGAAAUUGGAGCAUCCAAAAUGGAAAUGGAACACGAAUAUAUAACUUAUUGAUAUCACAGAGUUUAAUGAGCGCGUAUUUAUGGGAUUUAAAAUAGUAUCAUUGUUAUAUAAAUGGAAUUUUUUUUUGGUUGAAAUAAUAAUCAUCAUCUGCGCCAUGGUGAAUAUAUAUAUAUAUAUAUACAUGUGUAGGCGUUAUGAAAAAUUUAAUUUCGCGUGUGCUAAAUGUGAGCAGGCACGAAAUGGCUUCUAUGUUACGACGAUGUUAACUCGUGAUGGGUGCAUCCGGUGCACGGGUAUUGCGCCGUCUUUUCUGUAUGACGGGUUCACCGUUAUUAUUAAUUUACGAAUGACGGUGCGAGAUGCCCAAUUUCUGGUGUAAUACGGUUAAACUAAUUAAUUGGCACGGAAGUUAUAUAACGCGUUGAAAGUGGAAAUGUACCAUAUGUGUGAGCGGGAUGCUGUACGCGACGAAAAUGCGCGUCCUAUAUAUAUGAUUCUCAUUUCUCUCCCUUGAAAUUUCUUAUUCAACAAAAUUUUAAUGACAUUUCUCGUUGGGAUUACAUUUUUUUUUUUUUUUAAUAACAAACAAAUGAUUAGUUUUGAAAAAUUUUUUUUUGAUAGAAGAAGAUUUGAGACAAUCAUUAAAAUGUAAAAUACAGUUGGGUUAAGUUAUAACGUUUAAAAAAAAAAAAAUUCUCUUCUCGCGCGACUCUCCCAUUCACACAUUCAUUAUUAUGAAGUGGAAAGGCCUGCUUGCGCUUUGCGUGAACAUGGAAUUUAAAACUUUGAUUUCAAAGUAUUUUUUUCCUUCUUUCUUUUUUUUUUCUUCUUUUUUUUUUAAACUCAAAGGGAAUGCUCUUUGAGGUUAGGGUUCAACCACCGCAAAGCGCAUUCUCGAGUUUUGCUCGUGCAGUCGCAGCCAAAUCGAGGCUCGUGAGGAAUUCUGUUGCUUUGACUAUAUACGCCGAGUCAUGUAAAUGAAAAGCCAUACAAGAGUUGCACAUUCGAAAAUUCUCUUUAGCGUUAAUUUCUUUAUAUAUACAAUAUAUAAACGGCAAAAGAAAAACGUUAUAGGCUUUCAAUUUUUGUAAGUGAAUCAGCCAAAAUUCAAAAUAAAUUGUCGAAUCACUCAUCUUAAAAAUGAAAUUGUAAUCUGAGUACUAAAUGUGCAAUUAGUCGACCUCCAUCCCUUCUAGUAAUCACAGAAGGACGAUGAAAUUAAUUCUUUUCGUAGAAAACUCAAAGACGACUACACUCGCGUAAAGUGUGAAACUCACUCAACUCGACUUGACGUUAAUUCUUUUCUCUUUGAAUUCAAAGGGGGGAGAAAAAGUAAUUAAAAAAAUUCUAGGUGUCGAGAGUCUCUGUACUAUUAUUAUUAUAUAAAAUACUAAAUUUUCUAUUUAUCUAACUAUAUAUAU